Long non-coding RNA from Austrofundulus limnaeus, 343 nucleotides. RefSeq lists it as uncharacterized. Lineage: Eukaryota; Metazoa; Chordata; Actinopteri; Cyprinodontiformes; Rivulidae. The record is from RefSeq and is a predicted model, not a curated record. The transcript is spliced from 2 exons.
ACUGGAACGUCAAUGGAAAAGCACCCGAAAUGACCCGUUCCAACACUGAUCGUACUGACACUAAGUUGUGUCCAGAAAAGACCUGAGAGUUGACCUGAAGAUUUUGUGCUGCCCAAAGAUAAGUCCUCCUGAGAAAGAUACUCACCCACCUGCCUGCCUGCCUGUCACCUGCUGYUGGUGGAGCUUACCUGCUCGAUCCUCUUAUCUGUCAACCAUCCUACUGGAGAAACCAAGUAGCCAACUCACUAGAAUCAUACCCUCUCCUCAAGAACAUCACCACCUUUGGAUCCUCCUGGAAUCCUGGUCCAACAUCGCUGUAAAUAAAAUUCACUUUCCUUUUGUA